UACAGAGGUCCCAAGCGUUGUUCGGAUUCACUGGGCGUAAAGGGUGCGUAGGCGGUCGGGUAAGCCUGAUGUGAAAUCUCCAAGCUCAACUUGGAAAUGGCAUCGGAUACUAUUCGGCUCGAGGAAUGGAGGGGAGACUGGAAUACUUGGUGUAGCAGUGAAAUGCGUAGAUAUCAAGUGGAACACCAGUGGCGAAGGCGAGUCUCUGGACAUUUCCUGACGCUGAGGCACGAAAGCCAGGGGAGCAAACGGG
This 253-nucleotide ribosomal RNA is filed under the name uncultured bacterium. RNAcentral describes it as "partial 16S ribosomal RNA". It matches the Rfam family "Bacterial small subunit ribosomal RNA", at positions 524 to 776 of the family's 1533-position model. The record is from RNAcentral.